UACGUAGGGACCGAGCGUUGUCCGGAAUCAUUGGGCGUAAAGAGCGCGCAGGCGGUCGAUCAAGUCGAGUGUGAAAGCCCCCGGCUCAACUGGGGAGGGUCAUUCGAUACUGAUCGACUCGAAGGCAGGAGAGGGUAGUGGAAUUCCCGGUGUAGUGGUGAAAUGCGUAGAUAUCGGGAGGAACACCAGUGGCGAAGGCGGCGACCUGGUCCGAGACUGACGCUGAGGCGCGAAAGCGUGGGGAGCAAACAGG
RNAcentral lists this ribosomal RNA (253 nucleotides) under uncultured bacterium. Its description in RNAcentral is "partial 16S ribosomal RNA". It matches the Rfam family "Bacterial small subunit ribosomal RNA", at positions 524 to 776 of the family's 1533-position model. The record is from RNAcentral.